CCUGGUUGAUCCUGCCAGUAGUUAUAUGCUUGUCUCAAAGAUUAAGCCAUGCAUGUCUAAGUAUAGUUAUAUACUGCGAAACUGCGGAUGGCUCAUUAAAUCAGCAAUAGUUCAUUUGAUUGUACCUUACUACAUGGAUACCCGUAGUAAUUCUAGAGCUAAUACAUGCACACAAACUCCUGUUUCAGGAUGUGUAUUUAUUAGAUAACAAAAACCAAGGCCGAUUGAACUUGCAGUCUUCGGAUUGUGGGGACAGUCAGUUGCUGAGGUGAAUCAUAAUAACUGUUCGAACCGCAAAGAGCUCAAAACUCAGCGGUAGGUCAUUCAAAUUUCUGCCCUAUCAGCUUUCGAUGGUAGUGUAGUGGACUACCAUGGCUUUGACGGGUAACGGAGAAUAAGGGUUCGAUUCCGGAGAGGGAGCCUGAGAAAUGGCUACCACAUCCAAGGAUGGCAGCAGGCGCGCAAAAUCCCCAAUCCUGACUCAGGGAGGGUGUGACAAUAAAUAACGAUACCGGAUCCAAAGGAUCUGGUAAUUGGAAUGAGUACAAUUUAAAUCCCUUAGCAAGGAUCCAUUGGAGGGCAAGUCUGGUGCCAGCAGCCGCGGUAAUUCCAGCUCCAAUAGCGUAUACUAAAAUUGUUGCAGUUAAAAAGCUCGUAGUUGGAUUUCUGGCAUUGAGGCUCCUGUUCCGUUUAAGAUCAAUGUGUUCGUUGGAUGUCCGUCAAGAUGUUUGAUGAACAGGAACUUGAAUGUGUCGAACUGAGAGCUACUGCCAUCAUUCGUGGAUGACAUAUUGGCUCUUCAUUGAGCUGAUUUGAAAUCCCGAUCAUUUACUUUGAAAAAAUUAGAGUGUUCAAAGCAGGCUAAAAGCAAUGAAUACAUGAGCAUGGAAUAAUAAGAUAGGACUUGAGUUCUAUUUUUAUUGGUUUCUAGGGCACAAGCCACGAUUGAUAGGGACAGUUGGGGGUGCUAGUAUUCAACGGCCAGAGGCGAAAUUCUGUGAUUCGUUGAGGACUAACAAAUGCGAAAGCAUUCACCAAGGAUGUCUUCUUUAAUCAAGAACGAAAGUUGAGGGAUCGAAGACGAUCAGAUACCGUCGUAGUCUCAACUAUAAACGAUGCCAACUAGGGAUUGAUGGACGUUAGAUAUUGUAUCAUGACUCCAUCAGGACCUUUCGAGAAAUUAAGAGUCAUUGGGUUCCGGGGGAAGUCCGAUCGCAAGGUUGAAACUUAAAGGAAUUGACGGAAGGACACCACAAGAAGUGGAGCCUGCGGCUUAAUUUGACCCAACACGGGAAAACUUACCAGGUCCAGACAUAGUGAGGAUUGACAGAUUGAAGAUCUUUCUUGAUUCUAUGGAUGGUGGUGCAUGGUCGUUCUUAGUUCGUGGAGUGAUUUGUCUGGUUAAUUCCGUUAACGAACGAGACCUCAGCUUAGUAACUAGUUAGGCAAAUUCUU
Molecule: ribosomal RNA, 1455 nt
Filed under: metagenome
Description: SSU rRNA
Rfam family: Eukaryotic small subunit ribosomal RNA
Source: RNAcentral